CGUGCUUAACACAUGCAAGUCGAACGGAAAGGCCCUGCUUUUGUGGGGUGCUCGAGUGGCGAACGGGUGAGUAACACGUGAGUAACCUGCCCUUGACUUUGGGAUAACUUCAGGAAACUGGGGCUAAUACCGGAUAGGAGCUCCUGCUGCAUGGUGGGGGUUGGAAAGUUUCGGCGGUUGGGGAUGGACUCGCGGCUUAUCAGCUUGUUGGUGGGGUAGUGGCUUACCAAGGCUUUGACGGGUAGCCGGCCUGAGAGGGUGACCGGCCACAUUGGGACUGAGAUACGGCCCAGACUCCUACGGGAGGCAGCAGUGGGGAAUAUUGCACAAUGGGCGGAAGCCUGAUGCAGCAACGCCGCGUGCGGGAUGACGGCCUUCGGGUUGUAAACCGCUUUCGCCUGUGACGAAGCGUGAGUGACGGUAAUGGGUAAAGAAGCACCGGCUAACUACGUGCCAGCAGCCGCGGUGAUACGUAGGGUGCGAGCGUUGUCCGGAUUUAUUGGGCGUAAAGGGCUCGUAGGUGGUUGAUCGCGUCGGAAGUGUAAUCUUGGGGCUUAACCCUGAGCGUGCUUUCGAUACGGGUUGACUUGAGGAAGGUAGGGGAGAAUGGAAUUCCUGGUGGAGCGGUGGAAUGCGCAGAUAUCAGGAGGAACACCAGUGGCGAAGGCGGUUCUCUGGGCCUUUCCUGACGCUGAGGAGCGAAAGCGUGGGGAGCGAACAGGCUUAGAUACCCUGGUAGUCCACGCUGUAAACGGUGGGUACUAGGUGUGGGGUCCAUUCCACGGGUUCCGUGCCGUAGCUAACGCUUUAAGUACCCCGCCUGGGGAGUACGGCCGCAAGGCUAAAACUCAAAGGAAUUGACGGGGCCCCGCACAAGCGGCGGAGCAUGCGGAUUAAUUCGAUGCAACGCGUAGAACCUUACCUGGGUUUGACAUGGAUCGGGAGUGCUCAGAGAUGGGUGUGCCUCUUUUGGGGUCGGUUCACAGGUGGUGCAUGGCUGUCGUCAGCUCGUGUCGUGAGAUGUUGGGUUAAGUCCCGCAACGAGCGCAACCCUUGUUCACUGUUGCCAGCACGUUAUGGUGGGGACUCAGUGGAGACCGCCGGGGUCAACUCGGAGGAAGGUGGGGAUGACGUCAAGUCAUCAUGCCCCUUAUGUCCAGGGCUUCACGCAUGCUACAAUGGCUGGUACAGAGAGUGGCGAGCCUGUGAGGGUGAGCGAAUCUCGGAAAGCCGGUCUCAGUUCGGAUUGGGGUCUGCAACUCGACCUCAUGAAGUCGGAGUCGCUAGUAAUCGCAGAUCAGCAACGCUGCGGUGAAUACGUUCCCGGGGCUUGUACACACCGCCCGUCAAGUCAUGAAAGUUGGUAACACCCGAAGCCGGUGGCCUAACCGUUGUGGGGGAGCCGUCGAAGGUGGGACUGGUGAUUAGGACUAAGUCGU
Molecule: ribosomal RNA, 1439 nt
Filed under: uncultured organism
Description: 16S ribosomal RNA
Rfam family: Bacterial small subunit ribosomal RNA
Source: RNAcentral